AGAGUUUGAUCCUGGCUCAGGAUGAACGCUAGCGACAGGCUUAACACAUGCAAGUCGAGGGGCAGCGGGGGCGUAGCAAUAUGCCUGCCGGCGACCGGCGCACGGGUGAGUAACACGUAUGUAACCUGCCCUAUGCAGGGGGAUAACCCGGAGAAAUCCGGCCUAAUACCGCGUAACACCUUAGGGGAGCAUUCUCUUGAGGUUAAAGGAGAGAUCCGGCAUAGGAUGGACAUGCGUCGCAUUAGGUAGACGGCGGGGUAACGGCCCACCGUGCCGACGAUGCGUAGGGGUUCUGAGAGGAAGGCCCCCCACACUGGUACUGAGACACGGACCAGACUCCUACGGGAGGCAGCAGUGAGGAAUAUUGGUCAAUGGCCGGGAGGCUGAACCAGCCAAGUCGCGUGAGGGAAGAAUGUCCUAAGGAUUGUAAACCUCUUUUGUCGGGGAGCAAAAAGGCUCUGCGGAGUCGUAUUGAGAGUACCCGAAGAAAAAGCAUCGGCUAACUCCGUGCCAGCAGCCGCGGUAAUACGGAGGAUGCGAGCGUUAUCCGGAUUUAUUGGGUUUAAAGGGUGCGCAGGCGGCGUGUCAAGCAAGCGGUAAAAUAGCGGGGCUCAACCCCGUCGAGCCGUUUGAACUGGCGCGCUUGAGUUCAGGCGAGGUAGGCGGAAUUCGUGGUGUAGCGGUGAAAUGCAUAGAUAUCACGAAGAACUCCGAUUGCGAAGGCAGCUUACCAGUCUGCGACUGACGCUCAGGCACGAAAGUGUGGGUAUCGAACAGGAUUAGAUACCCUGGUAGUCCAUACAGUAAACGAUGAGCGCUAGGUGUCCGGGUCGCAUGAGACUUGGGUGCCCGAGCGAAAGCGUUAAGCGCUCCACCUGGGGAGUACGCCGGCAACGGUGAAACUCAAAGGAAUUGACGGGGGCCCGCACAAGCGGAGGAACAUGUGGUUUAAUUCGAUGAUACGCGAGGAACCUUACCCGGGCUCAAACGACUCAGGAAUAUAUUGGAAACGAUGUAGCCAGCAAUGGUCUGAGUCGAGGUGCUGCAUGGUUGUCGUCAGCUCGUGCCGUGAGGUGUCGGCUUAAGUGCCAUAACGAGCGCAACCCCUACCGCCAGUUGCCAACGGGUAAAGCCGGGAACUCUGGCGGGACUGCCGGCGCAAGCUGCGAGGAAGGCGGGGAUGACGUCAAAUCAGCACGGCCCUUACGUCCGGGGCGACACACGUGUUACAAUGGCAGGUACAGCGGGAAGCCACCUGGUGACAGGGAGCGGAACCCGAAAGCCUGUCUCAGUUCGGAUUGGAGUCUGCAACUCGACUCCAUGAAGCUGGAUUCGCUAGUAAUCGCGCAUCAGCCAUGGCGCGGUGAAUACGUUCCCGGGCCUUGUACAAAGCGCCCGUCA
Molecule: ribosomal RNA, 1401 nt
Filed under: uncultured bacterium
Lineage: Bacteria
Description: 16S ribosomal RNA
Rfam family: Bacterial small subunit ribosomal RNA
Source: RNAcentral